Molecule: ribosomal RNA, 425 nt
Filed under: uncultured bacterium
Lineage: Bacteria
Description: partial 16S ribosomal RNA
Rfam family: Bacterial small subunit ribosomal RNA
Source: RNAcentral
GUGGGGAAUAUUGGACAAUGGGCGAAAGCCUGAUCCAGCAAUGCCGCGUGAGUGAUGAAGGCCUUAGGGUUGUGAGGCUCUUUUACCAGGGAUGAUAAUGACAGGACCUGGAGAAUAAGCUCCGGCUAACUCCGUGCCAGCAGCCGCGGUAAUACGGAGGGAGCUAGCGUUGUUCGGAAUUACUGGGCGUAAAGCGCACGUAGGCGGCUACUCAAGUCAGAGGUGAAAGCCCGGGGCUCAACCCCGGAACUGCCUUUGAAACUAGGUAGCUAGAAUCUUGGAGAGGUCAGUGGAAUUCCGAGUGUAGAGGUGAAAUUCGUAGAUAUUCGGAAGAACACCAGUGGCGAAGGCGACUGACUGGACAAGUAUUGACGCUGAGGUGCGAAAGCGUGGGGAGCAAACAGGAUUAGAUACCCGGGUAGUCC